UGAGGGAUAUUGGGCAAUGCCCGCAAGGGUGACCCAGCAACGCCGCGUGGAGGAUGAAUGUCGUAAGAUUGUAAACUCCUGUUAGAGGGGAAGAAUAGUACCGGUUGGACCGGUAUAUGACUGUACCCUCAGAGAAAGCCCCGGCUAACUACGUGCCAGCAGCCGCGGUAAUACGUAGGGGGCAAGCGUUGUCCGGAUUUACUGGGUGUAAAGGGCGCGCAGGCGGGAUAAAAAGUCAGUGGUGAAAUCCUACAGCUUAACUGUAGAACUGCCUUUGAUACUUUUAAUCUUGAGUUCGGGAGAGAGAGACGGAAUUCCAGGUGUAGUGGUGAAAUACGUAGAUAUCUGGAAGAACACCAGUUGCGAAGGCGGUCUCUUGGUCCGACACUGACGCUGAGGCGCGAAAGCGUGGGGAGCAAACA
Molecule: ribosomal RNA, 422 nt
Filed under: uncultured bacterium
Lineage: Bacteria
Description: bacterial SSU rRNA
Rfam family: Bacterial small subunit ribosomal RNA
Source: RNAcentral